RNAcentral lists this ribosomal RNA (485 nucleotides) under uncultured bacterium. RNAcentral describes it as "partial 16S ribosomal RNA". It matches the Rfam family "Bacterial small subunit ribosomal RNA", at positions 899 to 1397 of the family's 1533-position model. The record is from RNAcentral.
ACUCAAAUGAAUAGACGGGGAGCCGCACAAGCAGUGGAGGAUGUGGUUUAAUUCGAGGCUAAGCGAUGAACCUUACCAAGGCUUGACAUCCUGGGAAUCUCUGCGAAAGCAGAGAGUGCCUUCGGGAAUCCAGUGACAGGUGCUGCAUGGCCGUCGUCAGCUCGUGUCGUGAGAUGUUGGGUUAAGUCCCGCAACGAGCGCAACCCUUAUCGUUUGUUGAAUGUUCAAACGAGACUGCCCGGGACAACCGGGAGGAAGGUGGGGAUGACGUCUGGUCAGCAUGGCCCUUACGCCUUGGGCUACACACGUCCUACAAUGGCCACUACAACGCGUUGCCAAAUCGCAAGAUGGAGCUAAUCGCAUCAAAAGUGGUCUCAGUUCGGAUUGAGGGCUGAAACUCGCCCUCAUGAAGCCGGAAUUGCUAGUAAUGGUGGAUCAGCCAUACCGCCGUGAAUACGUUCCCGGCUCUUGUACACACCGCCCGU